GCGGGGGUAGCCAAGUCUGGUCAAAGGUGCUAGAUUCAGGGUCUAGUCCGUUAGUCGGUUCGAGGGUUCGAAUCCCUUCCCCCGCA
Molecule: transfer RNA, 86 nt
Filed under: Methanobacteriota archaeon
Lineage: Archaea; Methanobacteriati; Methanobacteriota
Description: Euryarchaeota archaeon (groundwater metagenome) tRNA-Leu
Rfam family: tRNA
About the family: Transfer RNA (tRNA) molecules are approximately 80 nucleotides in length.
Source: RNAcentral